This 442-nucleotide ribosomal RNA is filed under the name uncultured prokaryote. RNAcentral's name for it is "partial 16S ribosomal RNA". The record is from RNAcentral.
CCCUAUGGGGUGCAGCAGGAGCCUUACAAGACGCCCGUGGGAUGGCUGCGUUGUUAUCGGGGCAUAGAUACCGUCACCGCUCUGGUGCUGCUCGCGGAACUGUAUGCCUUUUCCCGGUUUUCGUCGGCGCGUGACUUGAUGUCGUUCUUGGGUCUGACUCCCAGCGAGGAUUCGACGGGGGAGAAGCGAAGGAAAGGAAAUAUUACAAAAACCGGCAACUCCCAUGUCCGCCGCCUGCUGGUGGAAGCCGCAUGGCAUCAGCGCCUGCGGGUGCAUGUGGGAGGGGCUUUGCGAAAGCGGAGAAAGGAACAACCCGCGUGGAUCAUUGCCGAAGCGGAUAAGGCCAUGCGGCGGUUGCAUAAACGCUACCACGUUCUUCUGAAUAAGGGAAAACCCAAGCAAGUGGUGGUGACGGCCAUCGCCCAGGAAUUGGCGGGGGGGC